UACACAUGCAAGUCGAACGGCAGCAUGAUCUAGCUUGCUAGAUUGAUGGCGAGUGGCGAACGGGUGAGUAAUACAUCGGAACGUGCCCUGUAGUGGGGGAUAACUAGUCGAAAGAUUAGCUAAUACCGCAUACGACCUGAGGGUGAAAGUGGGGGACCGCAAGGCCUCAUGCUAUAGGAGCGGCCGAUGUCUGAUUAGCUAGUUGGUGGGGUAAAGGCCCACCAAGGCGACGAUCAGUAGCUGGUCUGAGAGGACGAUCAGCCACACUGGGACUGAGACACGGCCCAGACUCCUACGGGAGGCAGCAGUGGGGAAUUUUGGACAAUGGGCGAAAGCCUGAUCCAGCAAUGCCGCGUGUGUGAAGAAGGCCUUCGGGUUGUAAAGCACUUUUGUCCGGAAAGAAAUGGCUCUGGUUAAUACCUGGGGUCGAUGACGGUACCGGAAGAAUAAGGACCGGCUAACUACGUGCCAGCAGCCGCGGUAAUACGUAGGGUCCAAGCGUUAAUCGGAAUUACUGGGCGUAAAGCGUGCGCAGGCGGUUGUGCAAGACCGAUGUGAAAUCCCCGAGCUUAACUUGGGAAUUGCAUUGGUGACUGCACGGCUAGAGUGUGUCAGAGGGGGGUAGAAUUCCACGUGUAGCAGUGAAAUGCGUAGAGAUGUGGAGGAAUACCGAUGGCGAAGGCAGCCCCCUGGGAUAACACUGACGCUCAUGCACGAAAGCGUGGGGAGCAAACAGGAUUAGAUACCCUGGUAGUCCACGCCCUAAACGAUGUCAACUAGUUGUUGGGGAUUCAUUUCCUUAGUAACGUAGCUAACGCGUGAAGUUGACCGCCUGGGGAGUACGGUCGCAAGAUUAAAACUCAAAGGAAUUGACGGGGACCCGCACAAGCGGUGGAUGAUGUGGAUUAAUUCGAUGCAACGCGAAAAACCUUACCUACCCUUGACAUGCCACUAACGAAGCAGAGAUGCAUUAGGUGCUCGAAAGAGAAAGUGGACACAGGUGCUGCAUGGCUGUCGUCAGCUCGUGUCGUGAGAUGUUGGGUUAAGUCCCGCAACGAGCGCAACCCUUGUCUCUAGUUGCUACGAAAGGGCACUCUAGAGAGACUGCCGGUGACAAACCGGAGGAAGGUGGGGAUGACGUCAAGUCCUCAUGGCCCUUAUGGGUAGGGCUUCACACGUCAUACAAUGGUGCAUACAGAGGGUUGCCAAGCCGCGAGGUGGAGCUAAUCCCAGAAAA
This 1237-nucleotide ribosomal RNA is filed under the name Ralstonia sp. RNAcentral describes it as "bacterial SSU rRNA". It matches the Rfam family "Bacterial small subunit ribosomal RNA", at positions 50 to 1281 of the family's 1533-position model. Lineage: Bacteria; Pseudomonadati; Pseudomonadota; Betaproteobacteria; Burkholderiales; Burkholderiaceae. The record is from RNAcentral.